This 6623-nucleotide long non-coding RNA is filed under the name Triticum aestivum (bread wheat). Its description in RNAcentral is "long non-coding RNA (TAES_LNC025133)". The record is from RNAcentral. Lineage: Eukaryota; Viridiplantae; Streptophyta; Magnoliopsida; Poales; Poaceae.
CUUCCGCUCACGAUUUCCAUGACCACAACGCCAAAGCUAUAGACAUCGGCCUUCUCCGUGAUUUGUGAUGUCAACCAUUCAGGGGCUAGAUAACCAGGUGUGCCUCUCAUUCUUGUAACCACUUGACUCAUAUCCCUAUCAAUGAGCUUGCAUAGUCCAAAAUCGGAAAGUUUAGCAUUGAAGUCAUCAUCUAAGAGGAUAUUUUGUGGCUUGACAUCCAAAUGAGCAAUUCUCUUCAUGCAAUCCUCAUGAAGAUAAGACAGACCCUUAGCUAUGUCAGCGAUAAUCUUGCAUCGCACCCUCCAUUCUAACGGAGGAGCACUAUUUUCAUGUCGACCAUAGAUCCACCUGUCCAAGGAUCCUUUUGGCAUAUACUCAUAAACCAAGAGCCUAUGGGAUUUCUCUGCACAGAAGCCAAACAGCCUCACCAGAUUGAUAUGAUGAAUGCUACCGAUUGUCUGAACCUCCGCCAAGAAUUCUCUCUUUCCCUGACCAGCUCGAUCCAAACGUUUUACCGCAAUCCUUUCCUCGCCUAGCUGCCCUUCGAAAACAGACCCAAAUCCUCCUUCCCCGAGCUUGUCCUUGAAUUGCUCUGUUGCUGCUUCUAACUGUUGAAACGUAAACCUCAUUGGUGUUCCUUGUAGCUGAUCAAACUCUGCCUCCUCAUCUGUCAUCUCAUGGUGUCGUCGUGUUCCUCUUCGACGUAUGAUGAAAAAGAUGAAUGUGACGAUUAUUAAACCUAUGGCACCUGCAAUUGCAACUGAAACAGAAGUGCCUAUUGAGGGUCCUUUGCGUAGUGGCCUAAGAUCAGCUGAGUUAGGAGGACUUGGAGGUGAAGACGUUAGAUUGACCGGUGGGCAGAAGAUGACCUGGUAGUCGGUAUCAAAUGGGCAGCUGAAUGAAGUAUCUGUGGCAGCAUCACUGGAGUAGCUUAUUGCCUCCGGGCACAUCCGCACAAAGAAGGCCGAGUAUUUGUUGGAUUCACAAUUUCUCUCGCAGCAGUACAUAUAAUUAUUCUGCUCCUGGAACACUGUACAUGCGCUGUUGCAGCCUCCCGGUGCCUUGAGCUCGCUCGGACACUGUGACGUGAUGUUGGCCCCACAGUGGGGCCCCUUUCUGCACCCUGGUCCUCCUUGUCCCUUGACCGGCAUUGGCAGGAACUCCAUGGGUACAUUGAAGCCCUGGUAGAGGGAGAUGCCGAAGAAACUGUUGUUGUUGUACUGGUUGAGCGAGAAUUGAGCAGACGUGUAGGGUGGUUGACCAUCUCCCUUGCAGGUGAGCAAGCCUUGGCAGUCGCCUGUCUGGCAUGACCCGUGGCCUUUGCCGUCAAACGAGCAGCCUGUGCGUGCCCACACGCUUCCUCCACGGGUGGCAUAGGGCACCUUGAGGGUCCAUGUCUUGCCAGGCUGCAGCCGCCUGCCGCCGCCCACCGGGAAAGCGGCCGGCCAUACGGUGUAGGGGCAUCGGUUGGUGAUGUUGAGUAUGGUUUGGGAUUGGGUGGUGAUGACUGGCAGGAGGAGCAGGAGGCGGAGGAGGAAGAGCAGGUGGAGAGUCAGGGAGAUACCUCUAACUGCCAUUAGUGCCGUCUGCUAACAGGACUCCUCUUGGGUGAGAUGAUAACGGAGGAAGAGAUGCCUACAUUAGUGUACUUGUCUAAUAUGUGCGUGUUGAAUAAUUCAACGGUCAACAUACAACAGCCUGACAUGAGAACUGUUUGAUAGGACCAGACUUGAUUGUGGAACUUGUCUGCUUACAAAUCACUUAUACUAGCAAGAUGCUCAUGCGUUGCACAGAACAUCAAGAUGCAUUUGUAUGAAUAGUUUAUCUUGUGGGACAAAAGGAUGAACGAGGGAAGGCCUAUUUGUAAAUGUGGAGAGGGGUGUGGGUAUCUUUUUGCAAAAUUGCCAUAGUUUCCUUCCUAUCCGCCAGAUAUAAAUCAGACAGCCUAUAUUGUAGGAUGGCAGGCACACCAUCAUCACCAACUCUGUUUUUUAUAAUCACUUAUAUAUUUGUGCGUCUUCCAAAAAGGAGGAAUUGCAUCUGUACAUCCGUAGAAUUAACGUGUUUGAUGAUUUUGGCUGCAAGGAAUAUGCACACACGGUGCCAAAUCUGAGCAAAUAUUACAUAUGUGUUUUCACAUGAAUAAAACAGGCUGUUUGGUAAAUUUCACCAUCAGAGCGUUGGCUUUUUUUUUGUGUGUGUUCACAUAGAGUAUUUUAGAAAUUUGUUGGGUUGCAUGACUCUCUUCCUUCCUGAUGAUCCGCUCCAUGCUUUCUUGCGACAGAAACGGUCAAGAGUGAAGACCACCUCUUCUACAAGUGUGAUACACAGUCAGAUUGUGGGAAAUGAUAAAAGGGAUGGCUACAGCUAGGACAUCUCGACGCCUCCACUUGGCAUCUCUUCCAGUCCACCAACUAUUGGUGGGUGAGUCAAUCUGACAACAACAUUCCAAACCGGAAGGCGAUGGCUUCAUUAACCAUGCUUAUCUCUUGGACAAUUUGGAAUGAAAGAAAUGCACGCGUCUUCCUUCAAAAAAGCGCCCCGCCGAUGGUCCUGCUUAGCAAUAUCAAGGUUGAGGCGGCGGUUUGGGUCAGGUGCCAAACACUUGGGUACUAUGAUGCCAGGAGAGUAAUGACUUUUGUAUUGACGGUGUGUUGUAAUGCCUUACUGUAACACAACAAACUCUAUUCUCUUUUAAUUAAUAGAUGAAGCAAAUCUUUUACCUUCGUUUCAAAAAAAAAAGUGAAGACCACUUUGCAAAAUGUAGCUGGUGGUUGGGGUCAAGCUGAAGCUGACAGCGGUGGGCAGCUGCAUGGAAGCAGAUGGAUGCCUCGUUGACUGGCCGUCAACCAUAACUCUAUGGUUUGCGUGCUGACGAGGGUGGCAGAAACCUUGUCUUUUUUGUGAAUAUCCGUAUUACCCAGCGGAAAGUAAUUUUGGUAAUUCUUUUUGUACAUUUUGCUGCGCCAAACCUGAGGUUAUCGCGAGUGUUUUUGGUUGCACAGUUGACAGAAUUGUGGUUCGCUGCUUGACAAGAAUUUAGUUACUUCCUCCGUUUCAAAAUAUAGUUUUUCCUUUAUUUUCAUGCCUCAACUUUGGCCAUAAAUUUAACCAACGAGACAGACUGUGGCGGGAAUAAAAGUUAUAGCAGUGAAUUCGUAUUUAAAAGAAGUUUUCAAUUAUAUAACUUUUUCUUCCGCCGCAGUCGGUCUCGUUAGUUAAAUUUAUGGUCAAAGUUGAAUCUCGGAAAGCGCGGGCGCACUAUAUUUUGGAAUGAAGGGAGUACCUGCUAAACGACUUUCAGGUAUGGACACGAAUAACCAGCGAUCGUUCUCCAGGGGAGAAAUCCUCGCGAACGAAUCGUUCCCUUGGGGUUCGAUCGGGUGAACAAUUUCAUUCGCAACGAGAACCACCCCGGAGCGAACAAGCCCAGACAGGCCGCUUUACUAGGCCUUGCAGCCUGAUUACACACAAAAAAAAUGACAGGAACAAAGAAGAAAAACAAACAAAAUGCAAUGAUACAAGCAAGUAAAUUUUUCCAUGCAUGGCAAACUAAUUUUGUCAUGUAAAAGGUCACAUGGCAAAAAAUAAACAAAAAUAUGUUUAUUUACCAAAUAUGUAUAGCUACCCGGCAAAAAAAAAUUUGUCAUGCUCUAAAGAAUAAAAGUACCACAUAUUUUUUAAAAUAAAUAAAUCAUGUGUAAUGUAAGGCACACAAAAAUGCCAUGCUUGUCCAAAAAAUAUAAUACAUCAAGUCAGAGCAGUUAUUAAACUAAAAAAAAGACAGAACUUGACAUAUAGAAGAAAAUACUUAACAAUUAUUUUUGUGCCUAAGUUAAUAUUAAGUAUAAGAUGAUGGUAAAAGAAAUAUUGAAAAGAAAACUGGUGAAAAAUUAUAAUGAAAAUAAAUUUUCCAUGGGAUGUCUAGUAAUUUUCUAUGAUAUACCAAAAAGAAUUUACCAUGCUUUGUUCAACAAAUUCCAUGUUUUGAAAAAUAAUAUUGAAAACAGAAUUUGUGAUGUUGUAUGAAUUAAAAGUUGCCUUAAUGUGUACAAAAAAAUUUCGCCACGGUCCAAACAAUAAGUUUGGCAUUGUUUAAUUUUUUUGCCAUGGUCCCAAAAUUAAUCAUAGUCUAAAAUACAAUUCCAUGUUUUAAACAAUAAAUUUUGCCAUGGUUUAAACAAUAAAUUUUCCAUGGUCCCAAAAAUUAUCAUGGUCUAAAAUAUAAAUUUUCCAUGUGUUUAAACAAUAAAUUUUGCCAUGGUUUGAACAAUAAAUUUUCCAUGGUCCAAAAGUGUAAAUUUGAUAUGGUUCAAAAAAUAAAGCUGUCAUGGUUCAAGAAAUAAAUUUGGUAUAUGGUAUAAAUUAUAAAAUUUUCCAUGGUCCAAAAAAUAACUUUGCCAUGAUUCAAACAAUAACUUUUCUAUGGUUCAAUUUAAAAAAAACAUGAUCCAAAAUAAAAAAUUUGACAUGGUCCAUAAAAGUAAAAUUUGCUAGAUGGUCUAGAAAAGAGAUUAUGAAUGUUGAUUAAUUACGUGAUACAUCUAACAAUAUUGAUUUGGUAUUAUGAAUGUUGAUGACUUUUCUUAUAAACUUAGUCAAAACUUUACAACGUCUGACUGAAGACAAAUCUUAACAUAACAUGAUACCAGAUCAGACUUAUGGACAAGAACAAGUCAACGGCUAUCUAGUACGAGGAUGUGGAGCAAACAAGCAUUUUUAUUUUAUUUUGAGGCAAACAAGCUGGAUCAUGAUAUCAGGUCAAGCGAAAGCCCACCUGGACUUGAUAGGGCCAGACAACGCGGCCCAACGUGUUCGUGGCCCAGACCGGCCAGAGAGAAAAUCGGCCGGGCCCGUCCCCUUCCUCCGCCGCCCCCGCCGCACUGCCCGGCGGAUGCUGCCGCUCCGGUGGACCAUAUUCCCACUUCUGAUGGAUUCCGGUCGUCCCUGCGCUCCUGUGGCACCCCCUCCCCCCUGCCGUCUCCGGUAGCUCACUGCCGGCAGCGGCCACCGCAUCGAUAGGUUUGAUUCGCAGGUACUCCAAUCAACUACAGAUUUGUGGAUCCUCCUACUAAUCAACUACUCGUGCAAGGAUUCUGAGCGCUCGGAGGCGAGGCGAAGAGCCUGAGUCUACUGAGCUCAGAGGAAUAAUCCAGAGGGGGCGCACCAUUGGCACGGUAAGCGCGAUACGUGCUAGGCACGGUGGAUCUUUCACUCCAUGAGCAGGGUAGUUUAUGGCUGGCUUCUCGUGUACAGACUCGCCAAGUUGCGAGCUGUUGCAACGUGCGAUGCCCUGCGCCUUACAGGCUAACUGAAUUGAAUCUUAUAUGACAUACUCCCUCCGUUCCAAAAUAGAUGACCCAACUUUGUACUAAAGUUAAUACAAAGUUGGUUCAUCUAUUUUGGAACGGAGGGAGUAUAUGGUACACUUCCUAAGCACAGCAUUACCUUGUAAUGAAGACUCGCUGGUAGUUUUUUCUCAAACACCCGUUUGCACCCAAACAGCUUAAAGCAGGGCUCGUGACUACACUGGAAAUUGGGAGAACAUAAAACCACUUGUGGUUUCUAACUUUCUAAUUGUUCUGUGUUAGUUAUUCCUACUCCUACGAUGUAAUUCAAUUCAUUCUGUCAAUUUAUCUUCAUUUAUUGGAGCUAGGAGCAUUUUGGAACAUGCUAUUAAUUUCAACUAGAAUAAUUGGAAACAGGUCUGCAUUACAGCGAGAAACUGAACAAACUGUAGAAUAAAAUAAGUUCUUUGCUGUAGAACAAGAAGGUUUUUAAUAUUAAAACAUUUUGCAGGUAAAAUUAACUCAAGAUAAGCAGCUUCAGAUUGUACUGCUUGGAAAAGAUACAGGUAGCAGACAGGUCUUUUACUUUCAGAACAUCAUCUGCUCAUAAUCGUACUGUCUGUCUUGCUGGGAUUGUCGCAUUUCACCUUGGAGCUGAUACAUCUGAGGCUACAGGUGGAGCUGAAGAGUUCACAUUUCCAGCAAUACCGAAAUUUGGUUCAUUUGUUGCGACAAAGUUAUGAUCUAUGUUGCUCUCUGCAUCCAUGGUACCUUCCAAGACUUUGACCACCUCGGACAUUUUAGGCCUUCCUUUGCAGUCAAUCUGCAAACACCACAUCGCGAGCUUCAUCAUCUGAAUCGCAUCUCGCUCGUGCGCUUGCAUGUCGUUGCUGCUCUUGUCAAUCAAAUCUUCCAAGUGAUUUUUCUUCACCUUUUCUUCCAAUAGGGUAAUAAGAUGGAUGUUCUCUUCAGACAGGGAAGUGUCGAGGUUCUUUCUUCCGCUCACGAUUUCCAUCACCACAACGCCAAAGCUAUAGACAUCGGCCUUCUCCGUGAUUUGUGAUGUCAACCAUUCAGGGGCUAGAUAACCAGGUGUGCCUCUCAUUCUUGUAACCACUUGACUCAUAUCCCUAUCAAUGAGCUUGCAUAGACCAAAAUCAGAAAGUUUAGCAUUGAAGUCGUCAUCUAAGAGGAUGUUUUGUGGUUUGACAUCCAAAUGGGCAAUUCUCUUCAUGCAAUCCUCGUGAAGAUAAGACAGACCCUUAGCUAUGUCAGCGAAAAUCUUGCACCGCACCCUCCAUUCUAACGGAGGAGCACUAUUUUCAUGUCGACCAU